RNAcentral lists this non-coding RNA (122 nucleotides) under Lotharella oceanica. The record is from RNAcentral. Lineage: Eukaryota; Cercozoa; Chlorarachniophyceae.
AAAAAAGAAAGAAGAGAGAAGAAAAAUCAUUCCAGAAGAGGGAGAACCAAAAAACAAGGGAAGAGGCAAUAUUAUUGCGCGCGUUUUUUUCGUCUUGGUUCUUUUUUUUUUUUUCCUUCCUC